CGGAGAAGAAGCCACGGCAGCAUGUACUAAAAAGAAAAAAAAAAAAAAAUCUUUAUUGUUAUUGCUGAAAGUUAGACAGAUCAUUGCUGUAAUCAGAGCACUGAGAUUCUUCAUUUGGUUUAGCAGAGAGGGAAUGUAAAAAAUUGUGAUUAAAAAAAAAAUGUUCCUGU
This is a long non-coding RNA of Sander lucioperca (pikeperch), 170 nucleotides long. RefSeq lists it as uncharacterized. The record is from RefSeq and is a predicted model, not a curated record. NCBI's taxonomy places the organism in Eukaryota, Metazoa, Chordata, Actinopteri, Perciformes, Percidae. The transcript has 3 exons.